UAGAUGCCGCACUAGGUCAGCCAUCGACAUGUUCAAGUUUGUGGGAGAGAGGUGACGUUCUUUUUGGAGCCUGGAACACAGAUGGAGCAUGGCUGUUGUCAGCUCGUGUGGUGAGAUGUUGGGUUAAGUCCCGCAACGAGCGCAACCCCCGUCCUUAGUUGCUACCAUUUAGUUGAGCACUCUAAGGAGACUGCCGGUGAUAAGCCGCGAGGAAGGUGGGGAUGACGUCAAGUCCUCAUGGCCCUUACGGGCUGGGCUACACACGUGCUACAAUGGCGGUGACAAUGGGAUGCUAAGGGGCGACCCUUCGCAAAUCUCAAAAAGCCGUCUCAGUUCGGAUUGGGCUCUGCAACUCGAGCCCAUGAAGUUGGAAUCGCUAGUAAUCGUGGAUCAGCACGCCACGGUGAAUACGUUCCCGGGCCUUGUACACACCGCCCGUCACACCAUGGGAGUUGGCUUUACCUGAAGACGGUGCGCUAACCAGCAAUGGAGGCAGCCGCCACGUAGUACAAGGGGU
RNAcentral lists this ribosomal RNA (517 nucleotides) under Bradyrhizobium japonicum. Its description in RNAcentral is "bacterial SSU rRNA". It matches the Rfam family "Bacterial small subunit ribosomal RNA", at positions 951 to 1475 of the family's 1533-position model. Lineage: Bacteria; Pseudomonadati; Pseudomonadota; Alphaproteobacteria; Hyphomicrobiales; Nitrobacteraceae. The record is from RNAcentral.